CACGUAGGGUGCGAGCGUUGUCCGGAAUUAUUGGGCGUAAAGAGCUCGUAGGCGGUGUGUCGCGUCGGCCGUGAAAACUUGCAGCUUAACUGUGGGCGUGCGGUCGAUACGGGCAUCACUGGAGUUCGGCAGGGGAGACUGGAAUUCCUGGUGUAGCGGUGAAAUGCGCAGAUAUCAGGAGGAACACCGGUGGCGAAGGCGGGUCUC
RNAcentral lists this ribosomal RNA (207 nucleotides) under uncultured bacterium. RNAcentral's name for it is "partial 16S ribosomal RNA". It matches the Rfam family "Bacterial small subunit ribosomal RNA", at positions 524 to 729 of the family's 1533-position model. The record is from RNAcentral.